GAACUCAGUGGCAAUGUCUCACUCUCGAAGUCAAAAGUAGCCGAUUUCCUCCUACUCGGGGAGGAUACACUGAACAGGAUCUCCAUCUCCUCAUCACCAGAUUCUGAUGCUGCAACUGUUACUUUCUCAUCCAUAGAACCCAUAACUGGAAAAAGGGAACAACUUUAAUAGCAGAUGAACAAGUAUUGAUUGGAAAGUCAACCCAGCAAAGGAACCCAGCAAGCCCAGUUC
RNAcentral lists this long non-coding RNA (231 nucleotides) under Linum usitatissimum (flax). RNAcentral's name for it is "long non-coding RNA (LUSI_LNC001307)". The record is from RNAcentral. Lineage: Eukaryota; Viridiplantae; Streptophyta; Magnoliopsida; Malpighiales; Linaceae.